AUAUAUAUAUAUAGAGAGAGAGAGAGAGAGAGAGAAAAAGAGAGAGAGAGAGAGAGAGAGAGAGAGAGAGAGAGAGAGAGUCCGGCUACUAUGCUAUUAAUAGCACGAAGCACUCGGUGCUAUCAAGUUUUCCGCCGUUAGAUCUACCCUUUUGAUCAUUUUCACCCGUUAGAUUAUACUAUUCAAGCAACCACCCACUCAAUCCUAGGGGGCCCAUAUCAUCCUAACCGCACAUCUCUUAAUCCAAUGACCAAAAACUUUGUAGCACCAAUGACUUUGUGCUAUUAAUAGUAUAUUAGCCUAUAUAUAUAUAUAUAUNN
This 320-nucleotide long non-coding RNA is filed under the name Ananas comosus (pineapple). Its description in RNAcentral is "long non-coding RNA (ACOM_LNC036073)". Lineage: Eukaryota; Viridiplantae; Streptophyta; Magnoliopsida; Poales; Bromeliaceae. The record is from RNAcentral.